GUAGGGAAUCUUCCACAAUGGACGAAAGUCUGAUGGAGCAACGCCGCGUGAGUGAAGAAGGUCUUCGGAUCGUAAAACUCUGUUGUUAGAGAAGAACGUGCAUGAUAGUAACUGAUCAUGUAAUGACGGUAUCUAACCAGAAAGCCACGGCUAACUACGUGCCAGCAGCCGCGGUAAUACGUAGGUGGCAAGCGUUGUCCGGAUUUAUUGGGCGUAAAGGGAACGCAGGCGGUUUUUUAAGUCUGAUGUGAAAGCCUUCGGCUUAACCGAAGAAUAGCAUUGGAAACUGGAAGAGUUGAGUGCAGAAGAGGAGAGUGGAAUUCCAUGUGUAGCGGUGAAAUGCGUAGAUAUAUGGAGGAACACCAGUGGCGAAAGCGGCUCUCUGGUAUGUAACUGACGCUGAGGUUCGAAAGCGUGGGUAGCAAACAGGAUUAGAAACCCCGGUAGUCC
Molecule: ribosomal RNA, 450 nt
Filed under: uncultured bacterium
Lineage: Bacteria
Description: partial 16S ribosomal RNA
Rfam family: Bacterial small subunit ribosomal RNA
Source: RNAcentral